UCAUCUUUCCUCUCCCACUAACUCAUCCUCUAUGUUUUCUCUCUCCCAUUAUCCUUUCCCAUUUAAUUCAACCCGUUCACCUCUUUCGUUCGCUCACUGCAUAAAUUCCUCUUCCUCUAUGUUUUCUCCCUCUCAUCAUCCUUCCCAUUUAAUUCGAACCCUUCUCUAUUCAAAAACUCAUUCAAACCAUAUAUUUAAACAAUGUCACGCUGUCAUCCAACAUUUGCAAUAUUUAUUUUAUAGAUUCAACCUUUCAUUCCACCAAUCAAAUCUCUUCUCCCGAUUGUUUCCCCAAUUAUCUCUUCCACUCAUCAUAAAUCUUCUUCCAAUACACAAAUUUGAAAUCCGUCCUAACCCUUUAUUUUCUGUUUCGCGAAGUUACUAUGCAUCAACUCACCAAAAUUAUUUAUGGAGCUUUAAUCUUUUCUUCUCCCAUCCCCACAAUGGUCUUCUCCCGUGUGCACGCUUUAUCGUUGAUAAGUGCAGGGAGGUUAUUAAUAGCCCGUGGAUGGAACAACUUGAGGUGGGUGGAUAUAGAUGCUAUUGAGAUUAGUAAUAGAAUGUUGAAGCUUAGGCUGCAUUGGCUCUAGAUGCUGAUAAGAUUAUAGCGACCUAUUUUGUGUAUGUUUAAACAUGUGUUAUAAGUCAUUGAUGUCCCUUAUUCAGAGAGUGCUUAUGUGUACAAGGUAAUUUCAUUUAUGGUUUUGUUUGGUUUUUAGUAUGUUAAGAUUGCAAGUUAAAUUUAUAAUUUGAAGGAGUCAAUGUGUGUUCUAUUUUGUUUGGUAAAACUGUAAAAGCAUAUGUGAUUUAUUUUGGUUACAAAA
This is a long non-coding RNA of Lotus japonicus, 824 nucleotides long. RefSeq lists it as uncharacterized. The record is from RefSeq and is a predicted model, not a curated record. The transcript is spliced from 2 exons. NCBI's taxonomy places the organism in Eukaryota, Viridiplantae, Streptophyta, Magnoliopsida, Fabales, Fabaceae.